This 79-nucleotide non-coding RNA is filed under the name uncultured eukaryote. The record is from RNAcentral.
UUGAGAAGCGGAAAAGUGGGACGCGCCCACGAGAAACGAACAAUGAAGAUAAGUCGAUCGCUUCCUCGAUGCUGCCUCU